This 654-nucleotide long non-coding RNA is filed under the name Mus caroli (Ryukyu mouse). Its description in RNAcentral is "lncRNA (MGP_CAROLIEiJ_G0003356.1)". The record is from RNAcentral. Lineage: Eukaryota; Metazoa; Chordata; Mammalia; Rodentia; Muridae.
CGAGAACUCCCGAGCGAAGCAACAAAACCAUCAAAUAUGGCUGAGCCUCUCGGCUCGUCCUGCAGCCGCCGCGGCCGCGGCCUGAGACGCGCACCCCGACCCGCGCGCCCCCGCGCCUCCGCCCCCGCGUACCUGCUGCGCACGGGCUGGGCCUCCGCGGGCUGCGCGCCGCGCCGCAUGGGUCCGGGCCACCGAGGCCCCGCGGGGAGCCGGGCGGGCCCCUGCUGUCGCCCGCGCGCUCGGCCGGCCCGGCGCGCCCAGGCCCUCCCGGUAGGGCGUGCGGCUGGCGGCGGAGGAAGCGCGGGGACGCAGACUCAUUUCUGGGUCACUGCUGCCACAGGGGGGAGCACUUUAAUCCCCAGCCAAAGGAGAGGGUGGGGACAGUGGGGCGGGGAGCCGCUGGUAGGGGCUUGCUCCCGUUAACUCUUGGGGUCCUGACUGCAGCCAGAGGGGCUCUCCCCCGUCACCCACCUCUGGAGCCCGCAAACCCUCCAGGUGUCUCCUAGGAGGAAGGAAACAAAGCAAAGCAGCAGAAAUCCUAAAUGUGUGUGCUCUUUCUCCCUCUCCCAUUUCCUUAACAAGGAGCAUAAAGACUCCCUCCCUGACAGGGUCUCUGCUGCGCUCACUCAGUCCUGCUCAGAACAAGUGAGGUGC